GGUUAAGUCAGGCAACGAGCGAGAUCCGCGCCUUUAUUUGCCAACAAGAAGUCACGGCUUCGUUGGGAACACUAAAGGGACCGCCUUCGAUAAGACGGAGGAAGGAGCGGGCAAAGGCAGGUCAGUAUGCCCCGAAACCCCUGGGCUACACGCGGGCUGCAAUGAUAUGAACAAUGGGCAGUAACUCCGAAAGGAGAAACCAAUCCCGAAAUCAUAUCUCAGUGGGGAUUGUCGGCUGUAACCCGCUGACAUGAACGUGGAAUCCCUAGUAAUCGUGUGUCAUCAUCGCACGGUGAAUACGUCCCUGCUCCUUGCACAAA
This 320-nucleotide ribosomal RNA is filed under the name uncultured archaeon. RNAcentral describes it as "bacterial SSU rRNA". It matches the Rfam family "Archaeal small subunit ribosomal RNA", at positions 1027 to 1345 of the family's 1478-position model. The record is from RNAcentral.